Molecule: transfer RNA, 73 nt
Filed under: Firmicutes bacterium AF19-2LB
Lineage: Bacteria; Bacillati; Bacillota
Also listed under: 3 other names
Description: tRNA-Ala
Rfam family: tRNA
About the family: Transfer RNA (tRNA) molecules are approximately 80 nucleotides in length. Their secondary structure includes four short double-helical elements and three loops (D, anti-codon, and T loops).
Source: RNAcentral
GGGGAUAUAGCUCAGCUGGGAGAGCACCUGCCUUGCAAGCAGGGGGUCACGAGUUCGAAUCUCGUUAUCUCCA